GUAAAAGAAAUGGUUGAGAAAAUUAUGAGAGGUCAAGAAAAAUAUGAAUAAGUGAAUCUCAAAAGUUGGAUGAAAAAAUGUUUGAAAAUGAUCAAAAAUAAAAGGGAAAAUGAAAAUUAAAUGUAAAAUAAAAGGAAAACAUCAAUUAAAUGCAAAAACUAUUUUAAAAAUUAUGCAAAAUAUAUAUGUGAUGCAAACAUUUUUAAAUAUUUUUUGGAAAAAUUGGAAUCAAAAAGGUCAAAGGAGCUAUUUAAAAUUAAUUUUGAAAGUUAAUAAAAAAAGAAAACAAAAUAAUAAAACAAAUAAAAGAAUAAAAGCGCGCAAACGGCUAGAAAUUUGAAAAAAUGCGUUGUCAUGUUUCUAUUGGUUGGAAUUCAAACUUUGCAACCGACACGCACGAAGAUCAACUUUGUCUUCAAC
RNAcentral lists this long non-coding RNA (420 nucleotides) under Lathyrus oleraceus (garden pea). RNAcentral's name for it is "Pisum sativum (pea) long non-coding RNA (PSAT_LNC005164)". Lineage: Eukaryota; Viridiplantae; Streptophyta; Magnoliopsida; Fabales; Fabaceae. The record is from RNAcentral.